This is a long non-coding RNA of Solanum dulcamara, 678 nucleotides long. RefSeq lists it as uncharacterized. The record is from RefSeq and is a predicted model, not a curated record. Lineage: Eukaryota; Viridiplantae; Streptophyta; Magnoliopsida; Solanales; Solanaceae. The transcript has 3 exons.
AGAAGGAGAAAAACAAAAGAAAGAAGAGAAAACAUAGAGAGAAGAUCGGACAAGCCUAGGGAAAUUUUGGUCCUAGAAAUCUUGUUCCAAAAAUUAUAAUUUCUUGGUAUUUCCAUUAAAUCAAAGGUCCCUUAUAACAUGGUAAAUUUAUUUUGGAAAAUAGAAGGCUUGUUUGGUUGAUUUGGAGCUUUGAUUAAGUGAAGAAGUUAGUAGGAAAAGAUUUUGAAGAAAACGGGAAUUGAAUUUGGACAAGUGUGAAAAGCCAAUAAGGUACCGAAGUUCGAUUUGCUGAUCCACCUGUUUAGGACAUUUGCUGCGUCGUUGACAGUGCUCCCUUGUUCGGAGCUUGUAUUUUGGUACUGACUUUAUCUCUGUAUAUUUGGAUAUGUUGGUCAGGGAUACGACGGGGCCCUGUCCCGUCAUAUGACUAUGCUAUCAUCUGUAGAGGUCUGUAGAUAGAGUUAUGUUGUGGGUUUUGUAUAUAUGGUUUAAGUUUUGUGUGUUUUGUGACGGUCUAUCAACCCUCGUUCCUAUAUCUACUUUUAUGAUAUAUUUAGCAAUUUCUACUAAUCACUACAUAUGUUUAUUCGAUUAAAAAGGCUAAUUUGGGAUUAGGGUACGUUUAGGUGCCCAACUAGGGCACCAAUCGCGGCCUACGGGGUUGGGUCAUGACAGAAA